This 519-nucleotide ribosomal RNA is filed under the name Clostridium botulinum C. RNAcentral's name for it is "bacterial SSU rRNA". It matches the Rfam family "Bacterial small subunit ribosomal RNA", at positions 975 to 1496 of the family's 1533-position model. The record is from RNAcentral. Lineage: Bacteria; Bacillati; Bacillota; Clostridia; Eubacteriales; Clostridiaceae.
CUAGACUUGACAUCUCCUGAAUUACUCUUAAUCGAGGAAGUCCCUUCGGGGACAGGAAGACAGGUGGUGCAUGGUUGUCGUCAGCUCGUGUCGUGAGAUGUUGGGUUAAGUCCCGCAACGAGCGCAACCCUUAUUGUUAGUUGCUACUAUUAAGUUAAGCACUCUAACGAGACUGCCGCGGUUAACGUGGAGGAAGGUGGGGAUGACGUCAAAUCAUCAUGCCCCUUAUGUCUAGGGCUACACACGUGCUACAAUGGCUGGUACAACGAGCAGCAAACCCGCGAGGGGGAGCAAAACUUGAAAGCCAGUCCCAGUUCGGAUUGUAGGCUGAAACUCGCCUACAUGAAGUUGGAGUUGCUAGUAAUCGCGAAUCAGCAUGUCGCGGUGAAUACGUUCCCGGGUCUUGUACACACCGCCCGUCACACCAUGAGAGCCGGUAACACCCGAAGCCCGUGAGGUAACCGUAAGGAGCCAGCGGUCGAAGGUGGGAUUGGUGAUUGGGGUGAAGUCGUAACAAGG